RNAcentral lists this ribosomal RNA (254 nucleotides) under uncultured bacterium. RNAcentral's name for it is "partial 16S ribosomal RNA". It matches the Rfam family "Bacterial small subunit ribosomal RNA", at positions 524 to 776 of the family's 1533-position model. The record is from RNAcentral.
CACGUAGGCACCAAGCGUUAUCCGGAUUUAUUGGGCGUAAAGAGCUCGUAGGCGGUUCGGUAAGUCGGGUGUGAAAACUCUGGGCUCAACCCAGAGAGGCCACCCGAUACUGCUGUGACUAGAGUGCGGUAGGGGAGCGGGGAAUUCCUGGUGUAGCGGUGACAUGCGCAGAUAUCAGGAGGAACACCAGCGGCGAAGGCGCCGCUCUGGGCCGUAACUGACGCUGAGGAGCGAAAGCAUGGGUAGCAAACAGG